AUUGAACGCUGGCGGCAGGCCUAACACAUGCAAGUCGAGCGGAUGAAGGGAGCUUGCUCCUGGAUUCAGCGGCGGACGGGUGAGUAAUGCCUAGGAAUCUGCCUGGUAGUGGGGGAUAACGUCCGGAAACGGGCGCUAAUACCGCAUACGUCCUGAGGGAGAAAGUGGGGGAUCUUCGGACCUCACGCUAUCAGAUGAGGCUAGGUCGGAUUAGCUAGUUGGUGGGGUAAAGGCCUACCAAGGCGACGAUCCGUAACUGGUCUGAGAGGAUGAUCAGUCACAAUGGAACUGAGACACGGUCCAGACUCCUACGGGAGGCAGCAGUGGGGAAUAUUGGACAAUGGGCGAAAGCCUGAUCCAGCCAUGCCGCGUGUGUGAAGAAGGUCUUCUGAUUGUAAAGCACUUUAAGUUGGGAGGAAGGGCAGUAAGUUAAUACCUUGCUGUUUUGACGUUACCAACAGAAUAAGCACCGGCUAACUUCGUG
RNAcentral lists this ribosomal RNA (484 nucleotides) under uncultured bacterium. RNAcentral's name for it is "partial 16S ribosomal RNA". It matches the Rfam family "Bacterial small subunit ribosomal RNA", at positions 30 to 507 of the family's 1533-position model. The record is from RNAcentral.